CGUUUCGUUGCAGCGGCGGAGUCCAGUUCAAGCACCGCCGCUAUGGCUGUCCGGAGUGGCGGCCGGCCGAACCAGAUCUGCAGCAGAGGAGGUCGUGGUGACCGACCGAAUCUUCAGACCGGUCGAGAUGCCAAACGCGGCUUCACCGCUCGUUUUGGUUCAGGUCGAGGAAGGGGAAGGCCGCAUUGUACCUAUUGUGGUGAUCC
RNAcentral lists this long non-coding RNA (206 nucleotides) under Rosa chinensis. Its description in RNAcentral is "sRNA RchiOBHm_Chr6g0249831". Lineage: Eukaryota; Viridiplantae; Streptophyta; Magnoliopsida; Rosales; Rosaceae. The record is from RNAcentral.